Long non-coding RNA from Brassica napus (rape), 2927 nucleotides. RefSeq lists it as uncharacterized. The transcript has 2 exons. The record is from RefSeq and is a predicted model, not a curated record. Lineage: Eukaryota; Viridiplantae; Streptophyta; Magnoliopsida; Brassicales; Brassicaceae.
CGAAAAAUCAACGGCGGCGAUGCGGCGGUGGCUUCCCGGCAGCGGACGGACGGUGGCCGGCUGCGGUGGCUCCGGCGAACGUCCGUCGAAGACGGUGGUGCAUGGACAACACGCGUGUCGGCCCCGGCAUGCUGCGGUGGCGAGUGAGAUUCACGCGCGGAUCUUCGAGUGGCGCGUGACGGUGCGUCUGGGCUUCUCGUUGGCUGAGGUUCUACCACCGGAUUCGUCUCGACGUCAGGAACGCAGUGAUGUCCUUAAAAUCGCGAGAAACCAAACUGUUUGAAAGAUAUUAUCGAUUUAUCAACGGAAAAACAUAACCCAAAGCCAUGGCAGUUUUGUGUGGUUACCUUCAGCUGUUAACGGUGGUGAGAUGUCCGAUCUCGGCGUAUACGACGGUGGCUGGGGCUGGCCGAUCUCAGAUCUACUCGACGGCUCAAUCUCGGGAAAAAGGCUAAUUCAUGCUUGCACCAAUAGUUUUUGGAAGAUUCAUACCUAUACUUUAUCAGCGUGCUAAAACAAACCUAUACUCCUAAACAAUUUGAAAUACGUACCUGAAGAACAGAGUCAAUGGUUAAUUCAUGCUUUGACUAAACGGUGUCUAAAUCCCCAUUAACGGAUCUGAGUCAACUGCAGAGUCAUUACCGUUCUGUCCAAAAAUUGAAAUUGGUCAUGUUAAAAAAAAGGGUCCGACUUCGUUCUUUCUUUUUCUGCAAAUUCUCUUCUUCUUCGUUUCGACUAUUCUUCCUCUUAGUUCAUCUCUUCUCUCUGGUCUCUACAAAAUCAAGUGCUUGGUUUGUGGUGAAACAUAAGAUUGGGUCCUUCAUUUCCAAUCAAAACAUGAGUGACAUAGAUGAGGCAAUGAAUAAAGAUCAUAGUCAUGGUGGUCAAAAUGAUGGUGUUGUAUACGGUGCUGGUGAUACAGACGGAGGUCAGAAUGAGCUAGUGUGAAGGAGGUCUGAGUGAUGGUGAGAAUGAGUGCAAAGAAGAUGGAAGAGUGGAAGCAGUGGUGGGUGUGUUUGGUGAUGAUGAAGAGAAUAAAAAUUAUAGGGAUACACCACCAUGUUCUGACUCUGAAGAAGAUCAACAACCAAUGCCUUAUGAUAGGUGGAAGAGAGGCAAGUCCUUGAGAGUGUGAAAGAGUUCAGAGAAACGGUAUUAGAGUAUGCUUUGAAAGGCGGGUGGAAUAUCCAGCUCACUAGAUGGGAAGGAGUGAAAUUUGAGGCAAAGUGUGGAGUUGAAGUAGAUGAAGGUGAAAUCCUAUGAAGAAUUUUUUUGCUGGUUUCUAAUAGCUUUAUUGCUUGGCAUUAGGGAUUACUUAUAGCCGUUGAUGAAGUGUUACCCCCUGUAGAUUACCGAUUGUGUGCUAGGCAUAUCUAGGGGAACUUGAGGAAGCUGUAUCCCAACAAACCUGAAAUGAAGAAGCUGUUUUGGAGUGUGGUAGAGAGCCAUAAUGAAGCUGAUUAUGAAGCAAAUUUGAAAGCUUUGAAGUUGUAUGAUGUUGACGUGUACGAAGCUUUGAUGUUUAGAAGACCAGAAACUUGUACUAAUGUAUUGCUUUUGUGUUAUUUCCUUGUUUCUUAAAACAUCUAUGUUUUGCUGCUGAAGUAGUUAUGUUUUGUUCCUUUACGUACUCGUUGGUGUUCUUUGAUACUCUUAGUAUGUUAUCUGAAAAGGUUUCGGUUAUUCUUACUUUUAUAUGAUUCUUUUUGCUUUUUUUUUUUGGUAGAACAUGAUUCUUUAUGCUUUUAAACUCAUCAAAGUGACCUAUAUAAAUCAACAAAGAAGAUAAUUGCAGAGAAAAAGAAAAGAAUUGCAGAGAAAAAUAGAAAUUGCAGAGAAAAAGAAAAGAAGUGCAGAGAAAAAGAAGAGAAUUGCAGAGACCAGAGAGAAGAGAUGAAGUAAGAAGAAAAGAAGAAGAUAAUUGCAGGAAAAAAGAUAAUGACGAAGCCCUUUUUCAAAAAUAAAAGAAAAGAGAGAACGACGUCAGAUUUUUUUAACAGGUCCGUUUCAAUUUUUGGACAGAACGAUGAUGACUCAGAUCCGUUAACGGAGAGUUAGACAUCGUUUAGGUCAAAGCAUGAAUUAGCCAUUGACAUUGUUCUUCAGGUACGUAUUUCAAAUUGCUUAGGAAUGAAGGCUUGUUUUAGCACGAUAAUAAAGUAUAGGUAUGAAUCUUCCAAGAACUAUUGGUGCAGGCAUGAAUUAACCGUUUUUCCGUUCAAUCUCUGCAGAGUUUCGACACUUUAGACUUUUCUAAAUAAACUAUUAAGCCUACCACUGUUUAAAUAGAAAAUUAUCUAGGGUUUUCUGCGAUGGGCAUGUGUCUUGCUGGGUCAAAUUAAUCGGACCGAAUAAUGGGUCGUUACAUUUUUAGAAAGCUUAGGAUUGAGAAGCUCGAACUGACGAAGUUCACAUGAUAUAAUAUACCUUUUCAUAGUAGGAGAUCCACAUCAAGGAAUUAAUGUGAGAUGUGUUCAAUGAUAAGUCGUGGUAGGAGUGGAGAGCUAUAGUAAAUGCUUGCGUUAAUACGACACUUGGACUCAGCCUGAGUCCGAUACGGCUCAAGAAUUUCUUUCGCCGGUGAGCUAAACAGACGAAGAACAGCGACGAUGCUAAGUGUUGAUGAGAGUGGCGGAAUCUGUAGUGUAGAUUAUCUAAAGACAUAUGGCCAUUUUUGGUUUCAAUAGAAACCCAUACAAAUUAAAUCGACAGCUAAAUUUGGAGCCAAGGAAAGUGACGACCAGAAAUAGAAUUAGCUUUUAAUUUUUCAGAUACCACAUGUCCUCUUUUGCCCCUAUGUAAAGAAAAAACUCAACUUUAUAGUAUAGAUGUUUUAUCAUGUAAGAUGUUAUGCAUAAAUCAUAAAGACUAGUACAAUUAAUUUCUGUAAAAAUUAUCAUUAAAAAUAUAAUUUUGUUUUUUGAUGA